AUUGAACGCUGGCGGCAUGCUUUACACAUGCAAGUCGAACGGCAGCGCGGGGGCAACCCUGGCGGCGAGUGGCGAACGGGUGAGUAAUGUAUCGGAACGUAUCCCUGUAAUGGGGGGAUAACCAGUCGAAAGAUUGGGUAAUACCGCAUACGCACGAGAGUGGAAAGUAGGGGAUCGCAAGACCUUACGUUAUAGGAGCGGCCGAUAUCUGAUUAGCUAGUUGGUGGGGUAAAGGCCUACCAAGGCGACGAUCAGUAGCUGGUCUGAGAGGACGACCAGCCACACUGGGACUGAGACACGGCCCAGACUCCUACGGGAGGCAGCAGUGGGGAAUUUUGGACAAUGGGCGAAAGCCUGAUCCAGCCAUGCCGCGUGAAGGAAGAAGGCCUUCGGGUUGUAACUUCUUUGAUCGGGACGGAACGAAAUAGACGGUACCCGAGGAACAAGACCACGGCUAACUAACGUGCCAGCAGCCGCGGUAAACGAUAACUCGUA
RNAcentral lists this ribosomal RNA (495 nucleotides) under uncultured bacterium. RNAcentral's name for it is "bacterial SSU rRNA". It matches the Rfam family "Bacterial small subunit ribosomal RNA", at positions 29 to 536 of the family's 1533-position model. The record is from RNAcentral.